This is a long non-coding RNA of Oreochromis niloticus (Nile tilapia), 176 nucleotides long. RefSeq lists it as uncharacterized. The transcript has 3 exons. Lineage: Eukaryota; Metazoa; Chordata; Actinopteri; Cichliformes; Cichlidae. The record is from RefSeq and is a predicted model, not a curated record.
GGGAGAGCUACAUUUCCAGUUUCAUUUACUGUGCACUUACAAUGACUUCUAUGGAAAACAACAGAAUAGAACAUGAAGACACUGAAGCACAUAAUUUUAAGACGAACAGUUUGAUAAUGAUUGAGGAAAUGCUGAAACUGAAGACCACGAUUCAACAAGACACUACAGCAUUGAUU